CUCAGAAAAUAUGCCAUCAGUUGCUCUAUAGUUAUACUGUACUAGGUUUUUCUUAGGAAUCACAAUUCUGAUAUAUCCAAGUGUACUUACUACAUGUAUUUGGUCAAAUCAAAUAUAAUACAGUAGUACUAACAAUUACAUGGUUCUAUAUAAUAACAUAUAGAUAUAGGAAGAUGUGGUGUGAGUGCCAAUGAGACAAAUCUCCAUCCAAAUAACAAAUUAUAAAAGUAAACCAUUAUAGGCCACUGUAC
Molecule: long non-coding RNA, 251 nt
Filed under: Mytilus galloprovincialis (Mediterranean mussel)
Lineage: Eukaryota; Metazoa; Mollusca; Bivalvia; Mytilida; Mytilidae
Source: RNAcentral